Molecule: ribosomal RNA, 520 nt
Filed under: uncultured Glomus
Lineage: Eukaryota; Fungi; Glomeromycota; Glomeromycetes; Glomerales; Glomeraceae
Description: SSU rRNA
Rfam family: Eukaryotic small subunit ribosomal RNA
Source: RNAcentral
AGCAGCCGCGGUAAUUCCAGCUCCAAUAGCGUAUAUUAAAGUUGCUGCAGUUAAAAAGCUCGUAGUUGAAUUUCGGGACCGAUAUAUCGGUCGUGCCUCGGUACGUACUGGUAUUUUCGGUUUCUACCUUCUGACGAACCUUGAUGUCAUUAAUUUGGUGUCUUGGGGAAUCAGGACUGUUACUUUGAAAAAAUUAGAGUGUUUAAAGCAGGCUCACGCUUGAAUACAUUAGCAUGGAAUAAUGAAAUAGGACGUUUGAUUCUAUUUUGUUGGUUUCUAGGAUCGACGUAAUGAUUAAUAGGGAUAGUUGGGGGCAUUAGUAUUCAAUUGUCAGAGGUGAAAUUCUUGGAUUUAUUGAAGACUAACUACUGCGAAAGCAUUUGCCAAGGAUGUUUUCAUUAAUCAAGAACGAAAGUUAGGGGAUCGAAGACGAUCAGAUACCGUCGUAGUCUUAACCAUAAACUAUGCCGACUAGGGAUCGGAUGAUGUUAAUUUUUAAUGACUCAUUCGGCGCCUUACG